CCCAGCUCAAACAUUCUGUUAUUCAGAGCUAGAUCUGAGUCACAUUUUUACCAACUUGGAAUAGGAACCAGGCAACCUACAAGUGUUAGCAAGAAAAACAUUUGCUGACCCCUGAUCUAGAAGGUAAGCUCUACAAGAGCAAGAACAGCACCUUUUCAGCUUGUUGUCACUGGCAGCCUGGCACACGGCCUAGCUCAUUGCAGGUGCAAAAUAAUCAUUUGUUAAUUUAAGGAAGAAACGUAUUAUGAAAAUGUGAGUUUGCUGUGAAAAGAAUGACUGAAAGAAUUUAAAACAUCACCUUGGGAUCAUGACUGUACAUUUUCCAAAGGCCAUGGCCAUUGAAAAAAAUGCUGUCUGCCUUUUUUAGACUGAUAAAGGAAGAAGAUUGCAGGUCUCACAUGAGUCCAUGGUAUCUACAUGAGACCAAUAAAAUGCAAAGAGUUUUUAAAGGCAUGAAUUAACUAAUGUAAUUCACCAUUUGUCAGGCUUAUUAUUUCCUUUUAGGCACAUAACAUGUGGCCUUUGAGCUACACAGUUCAGUCUUUGAGGUAUGCUUAUAGUUAAGUCACCAAAACUGAUGAAUUUGAUCAGAAGAUUUACACCUGUUUGUGGGGAAGGCACUUAUUAUCUCCUUAUACUGUUAUGUCACUUGUUCAAGAGAAGAAUUAUUGAAAACAGGAAUGAGAAGAUUCAAACUUUGAAGUUGGAUGUAGUUUUGAAAUUUUGGUUACACCAAUGAAGCUUUCAGUUUAAAUGGACUCUUUGGCAAAUAUUCUGUAAGGUGAAAAAUGUCCUUUGAUAAUAUAAGCUUCUAAAUUGAUAGCUAAAAUUUGCCUUUCUCCAAGGGAGGGAUAAUUUUAUCAUUCUGGAGCCUGAAGAAUAAUUUCCAGGGAACGUGGUUGGUACUGGGAGGAUGAGAAGAAAUAGUAAUGAAAGCAGAGUUUGGAGCCAGAAAAACUGCAUUUGAGUCUCUGGGCCAGGAACAAUUUAAUUAUCCUUGCUGUGGCUCAUCUGAAAUGAGAAAAUGAUUCCUGUCUCGCGAGGAUGUUCUGAGGAUGAAAUAAGGCUGGAGAGUGCUUAGGACAUAGUAUACGCUCAUAGACAUUCAUCAAAUGUUAGUGCCCUUUCCUUGGACCAAAAGACAAAGGAAAUAGAGGAAAAAACAAGUCUCAUGGAGAAACAGAUUAAACAGAUACAAGUAAGAUGAAAGGCUAAUGUGCUGUUCUCGUGUUAUAAUUCCAAUUGCUCAUGUUUUCAACUGAGAAAAAAAUUCACCUGCCUGGAUCUGGAACAAAUUCCGGAACAAGGUUCUGAUGAAAUGAGGUGAGAGUGGACCUCCUUGAUCUGGUACAGAAACAAAAUAACUCAUUGGAUUGUGAAAUUGGAAUCCAUCUGGAGCACACGUACACCAAAAGAUGGAUGAAGGAGUCAACUGGACUAGAUUUCCCUUAGUUGCUCACAGGCAAAAGCAUGGAAGAAUGGCCUAACCUGGAGAUUGAUUUGGAACUCUCCUUGGUGCUGAGACAGCACCUGAGGGAAUGUUCCCUACAUGUUGCUCAUCUAAGUGCCCCUGAUGGGUUGCACUAGAGCAGUAAUUUCCACAGUGGGUUGUGUACCAUGGGGGUGCAGGACAUUAUUUUAUAAGGAACAAGGACACGAAUAAGUUUGAAUUCAUGGUGAGAAAGUUAUUCCUUUUGAAAGUCCUCAUCUCCACUCUUCACCAUCAGCAUUCGUGUGGCUGUCAGAACCCUAAUGAUCCCAUCUCCUUCUCCUUCUCUCAAUUUUGUCUUCAUACUUUUUUUAUUUUAAAGAGAUGAAGCCUCUAGCUAUCUUUACUCUUUUAUCUUAAUUUUGCCUGCAUCUCUGGUUGCUAGCUUUGGGGGAUUCCUGCGCUGGUUUUCAUUUGAGAGAUCUAAUGCAUACCCUGAUAGAAAGCACAAAAGUAUGAUUUCAUUCUACUCUUUUGCUCUAUUUUUGACUCCUCCAUUGGACAUUUGCUUCAGUUGAACCAUUCCACUCAGUAAUACCAACGUCAGCUCACAGAAAGUGAGGGCUAACUGUGACUUUCUUAAAUGUGCUUUCAGCUACUGCUUAUUAUCUACAGUUUGCAGUUCCAUUUACAACUGAUAAUGGAAAUGCCAACAUGCCAGGGAGAAUGGUGCUGUUCUAAUAGCUUCCUCUGUCCUAGAAACAGAACAAUUAAAGCACUAGAGCCUCUU
This is a long non-coding RNA of Equus caballus (horse), 2219 nucleotides long. RefSeq lists it as uncharacterized. NCBI's taxonomy places the organism in Eukaryota, Metazoa, Chordata, Mammalia, Perissodactyla, Equidae. The record is from RefSeq and is a predicted model, not a curated record.